Molecule: long non-coding RNA, 350 nt
Filed under: Salmo salar (Atlantic salmon)
Lineage: Eukaryota; Metazoa; Chordata; Actinopteri; Salmoniformes; Salmonidae
Description: lncRNA (ENSSSAG00000098822.1)
Source: RNAcentral
UGUUUGUGUGCACUGCGUUGGUUUGAGCCUGCCACACUGUUACCAUUGGCUGAGGGUUCGGGGGCUGAACAGUGGUCAUGCUCCAGCGCCAUGGGCAUGGGCACAUCAUCUGCAACGUCCUCAAUAUCCUCUGCCUAGGAUGGUCGCUAUCUCCUAUGACAUACUGCAGGACGUAAUGCUUGGAUGGAGUAGCCCUUCCACUGGAAGAGGCCAGGCAGAGCUCCCUUCUUUAAUAAUCUGCGCCAAGUGCUGGUCAAAGGCUCGAUCAAGUCCUCAGCUUGGAAAUAACAGCUGCAGACCCAGCACCAUGAGCUGCGGCUUCAAGUUUCAGCACCAGGUCAAUAACUCUG